GAUAAACGCUGGCGGCGCACAUAAGACAUGCAAGUCGAACGAACUUAACUCAUUCUUUUAGUUUGAGAGCGGUUAGUGGCGGACUGGUGAGUAACACGUAAGCAACCUGCCUAUCAGAGGGGAAUAACAGUGAGAAAUCAUUGCUAAUACCGCAUAUGCUAACAGUAUCGCAUGAUACAGUUAGGAAAGGAGUAAUCCACUGGUAGAUGGGCUUGCGUCUGAUUAGCUAGUUGGUGGGGUAACGGCCUACCAAGGCGACGAUCAGUAGCCGGACUGAGAGGUUGAACGGCCACAUUGGGACUGAGAUACGGCCCAGACUCCUACGGGAGGCAGCAGUCGGGAAUAUUGCGCAAUGGAGGAAACUCUGACGCAGUGACGCCGCGUAUAGGAAGAAGGUUUUCGGAUUGUAAACUAUUGUCGUUAGGGAAGAUACAAGACAGUACCUAAGGAGGAAGCCCCGGCUAACUAUGUGCCAGCAGCCGCGGUAAUACAUAGGGGGCAAGCGUUAUCCGGAUUUAUUGGGUGUAAAGGGUGCGUAGACGGAGAAACAAGUUGGUUGUGAAAUCCCUCGGCUCAACUGAGGAACUGCAACCAAAACUAUUUCCCUUGAGUGUCGGAGAGGAAAGUGGAAUUCCUAGUGUAGCGGUGAAAUGCGUAGAUAUUAGGAGGAACACCAGUGGCGAAGGCGACUUUCUGGACGAUAACUGACGUUGAGGCACGAAAGUGUGGGGAGCAAACAGGAUUAGAUACCCUGGUAGUCCACACUGUAAACGAUGGAUACUAGGUGUAGGGUGUAUUAAGCACUCUGUGCCGCCGCUAACGCAUUAAGUAUCCCACCUGGGGAGUACGACCGCAAGGUUGAAACUCAAAGGAAUUGACGGGGGCCCGCACAAGCAGUGGAGUAUGUGGUUUAAUUCGAAGCAACGCGAAGAACCUUACCAGGGCUUGACAUAUACCGGAAUAUACUAGAGAUAGUAUAGUCCUUCGGGACUGGUAUACAGGUGGUGCAUGGUUGUCGUCAGCUCGUGUCGUGAGAUGUUGGGUUAAGUCCCGCAACGAGCGCAACCCCUAUCGUUAGUUGCUAGCAGGUAAAGCUGAGAACUCUAGCGAGACUGCCGGUGAUAAAUCGGAGGAAGGUGGGGAUGACGUCAAAUCAUCAUGCCCUUUAUGUCCUGGGCUACACACGUACUACAAUGGCCGUAACAGAGGGAAGCGAAAUAGUGAUAUGGAGCAAAACCCUAAAAGCGGUCUCAGUUCGGAUUGAAGGCUGAAAUUCGCCUUCAUGAAGCUGGAAUUGCUAGUAAUGGCAGGUCAGCAUACUGCCGUGAAUACGUUCCCGGGCCUUGUACACACCGCCCGUCACACCAUGAGAGUUGGAAAUACCCGAAGCCUGUGAGCUAACUAAUAGAGGCAGCAGUCGAAGGUAGAGCCAAUGAUUGGGGUGAAGUCGUAACAAGGUAGCCGUAUCGGAAGGUGCGGCUGGAUCACCUCCUUUCUAAGGAGAAUAUUACUCUUAAAAAUAUUUAUUGUUUAUUUUUCAAUGUACUUUAAAUAGUACAUUGAAAUUAGAUAUUACUUACCUAAAAUAUGGGGGUAUAGCUCAGUUUGGCUAGAGCGCCUGCCUUGCAAGCAGGAGGUCAGGAGUUCGACUCUCCUUACCUCCACCAUAGGUAAGAAAUUAUCUAAUAAUAGCACAUUGAAAAAUAUAUAGAUAAAUGCGAAAAAAAGUUGGUAAAACUAGCAUGCUAGAAAUAGUAUGUAAAAACAAUUAAACCGAAAUGAACAAAUUAAUUUGUAAACAUUUGAUUAACCGUAAAUAAUUAUUGCACAGCAGAAACGAGUUUUACAAGGCGUACGAAGUUUAAAAAGCAAAGGAGCAUAGGUUACUAUGUGACUGGUUUUUAAACGAGAACAACGAAGUAAAACGAAGUUAAUGCGAAGCAAGAAGGUUAAGCUACUAAGAGCAUAAGGUGAAUGACUUGGCACCAAGAGCCGAAGAAAGACGUGAUAAGCUGCGAAAAGCCACGGGGAGAAGCAAAUAUUCUACGAUCCGUGGAUAUCUGAAUGAGGAAACUCAGCUAGUGAAAAAAGACUAGUUACCUAUACGUAAGUAAAGUAGCGUAUAAGGAGGGAACGUAGGGAACUGAAACAUCUUAGUACCUACAGGAAGAGAAAGAAAAAUCGAUUCCUUGAGUAGUGGCGAGCGAAAGAGGAAGAGCCUAAACUGAGAGUAGUAAUACUUUCAGGGUUCGGACUGCAUAAUUGAUUUAACAAAUCUAAUAGAACUGUUUGGAAAAGCAGACCAAAGAUAGUGAAAGUCUAGUAUAUGAAAGAUGAGUUAACAUGGCAGUAUCCAGAGUAGUGCAAGACACGUGAAAUCUUGUAUGAAAGAGCGGGGACCAUCCCGUAAGGCUAAAUACUACUUGGUGACCGAUAGUGGAGC
RNAcentral lists this ribosomal RNA (2443 nucleotides) under uncultured Fenollaria sp. Its description in RNAcentral is "bacterial SSU rRNA". The stretch from base 1 to 1495 matches the Rfam family "Bacterial small subunit ribosomal RNA". The record is from RNAcentral. Lineage: Bacteria; Bacillati; Bacillota; Clostridia; Eubacteriales.